This 67-nucleotide transfer RNA is filed under the name Onchidella celtica (Celtic sea slug). RNAcentral's name for it is "tRNA-Asp". The record is from RNAcentral. Lineage: Eukaryota; Metazoa; Mollusca; Gastropoda; Systellommatophora; Onchidiidae.
UUUUGUCUAGUUUAGUAAAAAUGGUGGCUUGUCAGGCCAUGGAUGAGGCCAGGUUCCUCGACAGGGU